Molecule: ribosomal RNA, 820 nt
Filed under: uncultured bacterium
Lineage: Bacteria
Description: bacterial SSU rRNA
Rfam family: Bacterial small subunit ribosomal RNA
Source: RNAcentral
UGGAAGUAACAGUUUACUGUAACGGAAAGACCUGUCUUAGUGGCGGACGGGUGAGUAACGCGUGGGCAACCUGCCCUGUACCGGGGGAUAACACUUAGAAAUAGGUGCUAAUACCGCAUAAUAAGGAAGACCGCAUGGUGAUCCUUUGAAAACUCCGGUGGUACAGGAUGGGCCCGCGUCUGAUUAGCCAGUUGGCGGGGUAACGGCCCACCAAAGCGACGAUCAGCAGCCGGCCUGAGAGGGUGGACGGCCACACUGGGACUGAGACACGGCCCAGACUCCUACGGGAGGCAGCAGUGGGGAAUAUUGCACAAUGGGGGGAACCCUGAUGCAGCGACGCCGCGUGAGUGAAGAAGUAUUUCGGUAUGUAAAGCUCUGUCGGCAGGGAAGAAGAAAGACGGUACCUGACCAAGAAGCCCCGGCUAACUACGUGCCAGCAGCCGCGGUAAUACGUAGGGGGCAAGCGUUAUCCGGAUUUACUGGGUGUAAAGGGAGCGUAGACGGCAGGGCAAGUCUGGAGUGAAAGGCAGGGGCCCAACCCCUGGACUGCUCUGGAAACUGUCCGGCUGGAGUGCAGGAGAGGUAAGUGGAAUUCCUAGUGUAGCGGUGAAAUGCGUAGAUAUUAGGAGGAACACCAGUGGCGAAGGCGGCUUACUGGACUGUAACUGACGUUGAGGCUCGAAAGCGUGGGGAGCGAACAGGAUUAGAUACCCUGGUAGUCCACGCCGUAAACGAUGAUCACCAGGUGUCGGGGGUUAACAGACCCCCGGUGCCGAAGCCAACGCAUUAAGUGAUCCACCUGGGGAGUACGUUCGCAAGA